UACAGAGGUCUCAAGCGUUGUUCGGAUUCAUUGGGCGUAAAGGGUGCGUAGGCGGCGCGGUAAGUCGGGUGUGAAAUUUCGAGGCUUAACUUCGAAACUGCAUUCGAUACUGCCGUGCUAGAGGACUGGAGAGGAGACUGGAAUUUACGGUGUAGCGGUGAAAUGCGUAGAUAUCGUAAGGAAGACCAGUGGCGAAGGCGAGUCUCUGGACAGUUACUGACGCUGAGGCACGAAGGCCAGGGGAGCAAACGGG
Molecule: ribosomal RNA, 253 nt
Filed under: uncultured bacterium
Lineage: Bacteria
Description: partial 16S ribosomal RNA
Rfam family: Bacterial small subunit ribosomal RNA
Source: RNAcentral